RNAcentral lists this non-coding RNA (160 nucleotides) under Azospirillum brasilense. Its description in RNAcentral is "6S RNA". It matches the Rfam family "6S / SsrS RNA". Rfam says of the family: E. coli 6S RNA was the first non coding RNA to be sequenced, but its function was unknown until recently. It consists of 184 nucleotides that fold into an extended hairpin structure with a large single-stranded internal bulge. The record is from RNAcentral. Lineage: Bacteria; Pseudomonadati; Pseudomonadota; Alphaproteobacteria; Rhodospirillales; Azospirillaceae.
AUGGUUCUGCCCGGUGCGCAAGGUGCAUAAACGCUCCGGACCGACUAUCUACUCUCGGGAGCUGUCCCUACCGCUGGCCGUGGCUGGCGGCAAACGGCACCCACCUGUACACACGGGUCACGAGAGGUUACAGCUGCCGAACGGCCAGGGUGGUCCAUUC